This 2474-nucleotide ribosomal RNA is filed under the name Methylophaga sp. Its description in RNAcentral is "partial 23S ribosomal RNA". It matches the Rfam family "Bacterial large subunit ribosomal RNA", at positions 1 to 2500 of the family's 2925-position model. The record is from RNAcentral. Lineage: Bacteria; Pseudomonadati; Pseudomonadota; Gammaproteobacteria; Thiotrichales; Piscirickettsiaceae.
GGUCAAGUGAAUAAGCGCACAUGGUGGAUGCCUUGGCGAUAAGAGGCGAUGAAGGACGUAGUAAUCUGCGAAAAGCGUAGGGGAGCUGAUAAACGAGCUUUGAGCCUACGAUGUCCGAAUGGGGCAACCCACAUACUUUAGGGUAUGUAUCAUUAACUGAAUACAUAGGUUAAUGAGGCGAACCCGGCGAACUGAAACAUCUAAGUAGCCGGAGGAAAAGAAAUCAACCGAGAUUUCCCUAGUAGCGGCGAGCGAACGGGAAACAGCCUGCAAGUAAUAUUUAACGUUUUAGUGGAACAAGCUGGAAAGCUUAGCGAUACAGGGUGAUAGCCCCGUACACGAAAAGGCGUUAAAGGUACUAAGCUUGCGACAAGUAGGGCGGGGCACGAGAAACCUUGUCUGAACAUGGGGGGACCAUCCUCCAAGGCUAAAUACUCCUUAUCGACCGAUAGUGAACUAGUACCGUGAGGGAAAGGCGAAAAGAACCCCGUUUAGGGGAGUGAAAUAGAACCUGAAACCGUGUGCGUACAAGCAGUAGGAGCAGACUUGUUCUGUGACUGCGUACCUUUUGUAUAAUGGGUCAGCGACUUAAUUUAUGUAGCGAGCUUAACCGAAUAGGGGAGGCGAAGGGAAACCGAGUCUUAAUAGGGCGAUUAGUUGCAUGGAUUAGACCCGAAACCUGGCGAUCUAUCCAUGGUCAGGCUGAAGGUUGGGUAACACUAACUGGAGGGCCGAACCCACGUAUGUUGAAAAAUGCGGGGAUGAACUGUGGAUCGGAGUGAAAGGCUAAUCAAGCCAGGAGAUAGCUGGUUCUCCUCGAAAGCUAUUUAGGUAGCGCCUCAUGUAUCACUCUUGGGGGUAGAGCACUGUUUGGGCUAGGGGGUCAUCCCGACUUACCAACCCCAUGCAAACUCCGAAUACCGAGAAGUGCAAUCAUGGGAGACACACGGUGGGUGAUAACGUCCAUCGUGGAAAGGGAAACAACCCAGACCAUCAGCUAAGGUCCCAAAAUUAUGGCUCAGUGGAAAACGAGGUGGGAAGGCACAGACAGCUAGGAGGUUGGCUUAGAAGCAGCCACCCUUUAAAGAAAGCGUAAUAGCUCACUAGUCGAGUCGGCCUGCGCGGAAGAUGUACCGGGGCUUAAGCCAUAUACCGAAGCUAUGGAUGCCGUACUUAGUACGGCAUGGUAGAGGAGCGUUGUGUAAGUCUGUGAAGGUGAGUUGAGAAGCUUGCUGGAGAUAUCACAAGUGCGAAUGCUGACAUGAGUAACGAUAAAGGGGGUGAGAGGCCCCCUCGCCGAAAAUCCAAGGUUUCCUGCUCAACGCUAAUCGGAGCAGGGUGAGUCGGUCCCUAAGGCGAGGCAGAAAUGCGUAGUCGAUGGAAAACAGGUUAAUAUUCCUGUACCGGUUGUUACUGCGAUGGGAUGACGGAGAAGGUUAGGUUAGCCAACUGUUGGAUAUGUUGGUUUAAGUGUGUAGGCGUGCUUUAUAGGAAAAUCCGUAGAGCUAAGCUGAGGCAUGAUGACGAGUCUCAAUGGAGACGAAGUAACUGAUACCAGGCUUCCAGGAAAAGUCUCUAAGCUUCAGGUAACAAACGACCGUACCCCAAACCGACACAGGUGGAUGGGAUGAGAAUUCUAAGGCGCUUGAGAGAACUCGGGUGAAGGAACUAGGCAAAAUAGCACCGUAACUUCGGGAGAAGGUGUGCCCUUGUUAGGUGAAGCGACUUGCUCGUGGAGCUGAAGAGGGUUGCAGUGAACUGGUGGCUGCGACUGUUUAUUAAAAACACAGCACUCUGCAAACACGAAAGUGGACGUAUAGGGUGUGACGCCUGCCCGGUGCCGGAAGGUUAAUUGAUGGGGUUAUUCUUCGGAAGAAGCUCUUGAUCGAAGCCCCGGUAAACGGCGGCCGUAACUAUAACGGUCCUAAGGUAGCGAAAUUCCUUGUCGGGUAAGUUCCGACCUGCACGAAUGGCGUAACGAUGGCCACACUGUCUCCACCCGAGACUCAGUGAAAUUGAAAUUGCGGUUAAGAUGCCGUAUACCCGCGGCUAGACGGAAAGACCCCGUGAACCUUUACUACAGCUUUGCACUGAACUUUGAACCUACUUGUGUAGGAUAGCUGGGAGACAUUGAAGCGAGGACGCCAGUUCUUGUGGAGUCAACCUUGAAAUACCAGCCUGGUAUGUUUGGAGUUCUAACCUCGGUCCAUUAUCUGGACUAGGGACAGUGUAUGGUGGGUAGUUUGACUGGGGCGGUCUCCUCCCAAAGAGUAACGGAGGAGCACGAAGGUACACUAAGUAUGGUCGGACAUCAUACGGUUAGUGCAAUGGCAAAAGUGUGCUUGACUGCGAGACAGACACGUCGAGCAGGUACGAAAGUAGGUCAUAGUGAUCCGGUGGUUCUGAAUGGAAGGGCCAUCGCUCAACGGAUAAAAGGUACUCCGGGGAUAACAGGCUGAUACCGCCCAAGAGUU